UAACUCCUCAUUGUAAACAGACU
RNAcentral lists this non-coding RNA (23 nucleotides) under Cricetulus griseus (Chinese hamster). Lineage: Eukaryota; Metazoa; Chordata; Mammalia; Rodentia; Cricetidae. The record is from RNAcentral.